Molecule: long non-coding RNA, 1194 nt
Organism: Cydia fagiglandana
Lineage: Eukaryota; Metazoa; Arthropoda; Insecta; Lepidoptera; Tortricidae
Exons: 3
Source: RefSeq, a predicted model, not a curated record
UUCAUAAAAAAUCCUUAAAUGAGGAAUGAUCAGCUUAUUAGCUAAUCCACUGUUUAGGCUUAAUAAGCCGUUGAUAAGAACCAUGAUUUAUAAACGUUUAUUAGGGGUUUCUUAACUAAUAAGCAGAUUAGACCCGUUAUGUUGGCAUCUUGGCACAUCAUAGACAAAAAUAUGGCUGAACAUUAAUUAAAAAAAAAAGUUUGACAGCAGCACUAGCGGUAAAUCAUAAAAUCCUGAACAAUACGAUGCACAAUUUUGACCAGUUUUCUGGGUUAUUAUAUAUUAAAAUAGCCUCUGCAUCACAAAAACAAAUAAAUAAUAUUGCACGGCCGGAAGUUUUACGAAACUCGUUUCAAUAUAUUGUGGAAUGAGGGAAAGAGGGCAGUUGCACAUCUCAAGUCAAGAAUUCUGCCUGCGCGCCAUCGCCACCGUAAUACCACGGAUUCCAACACAUUUUGUUCUGGUGGCGAAACACAAACGAUAUUGACACUAUUCAUAUCAAAUGAUCGGUGAAGAUAAAUCAGGUGAGCAAGAUUUGGUUAUUCAUUUCUUAACGUAAAAUGUUGUAGUAUUUUUAUGAACAUACCUCGACACCCAAAAAAUUAUGGCCUCAUCAUUUUUAAUUUGACGUACUAUCGGUGUUUUUUAGAAGAGCAGAGCUAACUAAGCUAGUUAGGAGCUGUUUAUAAUUAGAAUUAGUGAAUAACAUACUUAACCAACCACACGAUGGAACCAAUUUAUCAGUGAAGUGGUGAUUUAUCUUAAAAACCUUUUUUGUUCGCCUAGGGCGCAGAGUUAAAGAUAAGCGCUUAUAUAUGCAACUUGACAAUGACAAUGUUUGCAGUGAAACAUCUCAGCCAAUAGCCGCAUUAAAAGGCAAACUGCACAAUUCAUAAUGAGGCAGAAAUGUUCAUUAUUCACAGGAGUGUCGCUGUUGGUUGUGAGUAUUCCAUCAUCAGCUAUUUGUCCGGAGCUGGCUACACAAUCCGGAGGCCACACUCUUCUGGCAUCUAACCGGCCUGCACACCGCCAUCAAAUGAAGUUGGUUGUACUGAAAUAAAGAAAAAAUAUUAACUAGUUUAAUGAUUGUCAAAUGUAAUAAAAUUGUUUUAUUUAAGUGGGUUGUUUGAUUUCCCUAAAUUAACACAUGAAAUAUGUUGAUAUGUUAUAAUAAAAAUCUCAGUUAAAAACUCA